Molecule: long non-coding RNA, 2992 nt
Organism: Lagopus muta (rock ptarmigan)
Lineage: Eukaryota; Metazoa; Chordata; Aves; Galliformes; Phasianidae
Exons: 3
Source: RefSeq, a predicted model, not a curated record
AACGGGAGAGUGGACCCCGGGUGGAGCCAGCUGCUGAGAGUUUCUCUCAAGCUAUGCUGCUUCUUGAGAAGUGCUGCAUGGCUGGAGAGUGCAUUCAUCAGUUGGUUUGCAGCAGUAGAGGACCAAUGGUGGAUCUCUUUAAGUAUGGAAAAUUGAAAAUCUUUCAGGGUGUGAAUAGUUAAAUUGGAGAUGUUCAAGCAACCUUGACUUCAAAACAAAGCUGUGGUAGAUGAGGCUGUUGCUGAGCUCCAGAAGUACAGAAAACCACAUUUGCAGAGGAUUCAUUUUCAGCCCUAAAACCUGGAGAAAUGAAGUAAAGUUUACUACUGAACUAGAAUGAUAUUUUUUUUUACCUGCCUGAAGCAAAGAUGUAAGAUUUGGAUUUACUCUGAACCACUAAUUCUCCAUUUCUACCAGUGCUUCAAAGAGUUAUCAUUCAUUUUGUACCACUUUUUACAUCUCCAUUGCCCUUCUUUAAGUUUGCUCUUCUCUGUGCGUCUGACCUCUGGUAGGGAUGGGGACGUUAAAAGAUCCACUGAUCUGUUGAGAGUAAAGACUAGGACUUCAAAAAAGAUGAAUGUGUAUUUACACACUGGAUUUACUUUUGUCACUGAAACUUGAAUAUGUUUUUAAAAAUGGGGCAGGGUUUGUUCCAAGUAUGGUAACUUUUCUUAUGUCUUUUAAGUAUACAUUUGUGGUUGAACAAAGAUGAAGAUUCCUGAUUCACAGUAUUUCCAAUUUAAACUACAGUAUUAAUACAAACAUUAAAGGAGUGUUAUGAUUAUCUCCUUGCACGAGAGUAUGGCAAUGUAUUUGAAUAUAAAAUAGCAAAGGUUGUAAUAUCCCACUUUCUUCUGCUAAACCACUUCAUACAGUUGUGCAUUAACAGGAAAAUGUUUGAGAGACGAGAUGAUUUAAGAUGAGGUUAAAUGAAUUAAAGUCUUAUGGAUAUCAUGAAAAUUAUGGGCUUCAUAUGUCUUAUAUUUUAGUAAUACCUCCAGAUCAGCGGACUUGCAUGUUCUUAUCUUUGUAUGUAAUUCUGUUGUGAUUGAAGUAAAAUAGUGUGUGAUACUCUAAGGAUCAUAGCCUCAACUAAUAAAUAUGGAAACAGUGUAAACUUUCUGUUAAAGGAAUUAGACAUGUAACAGCAAUUGUGCUGUCUCUUAGAAUGUUCCCCUGAAAUCCCAUCUGAGAUGCUCUCUGGGCAGAUGUCUUUGCUCGCAGUGUCUAAAGUAACACUAGAUAUCAAUAUUUAAGCACAGAAUUGUUUUCAUUGUUUAUUGCCUGGUUGCUUCUUGCGUCUUACAGGAGUAGAAAAAUCUCAGAUAUAAUUAGACAGCCAUGGAGGUUUGCCCUUGGAGUGCAGAUCUAAGUUGUGGGGUUUUUUUUACAGCUGUUCCUGAAGCUUGCAAAAGGUUGUGUGGAAAGCAGCUGCUUAGAAGCCCUAUUUUAACAGAAACCUACACUAGGGAAUACUUCUGGUUUUCUCUACGUUUAUGCCCAUCCAUUGUCUUUGUGGAAAAAGAACUGUGCCCCAUUGUCUUUGAUCUGGAAUAUGCUGUGAGAAACUUGCCACCAGUUUUUCUUGUAUGAAUUGUUCCAGGGACUGAACAUGCACAAAGAAACAAAAUACCUGUUAGUGAAAGUAUUCUUCCUCAUAGUUAGGGAAAAGUAUUUUAGGAGAAAAUCUUGAGGCAAAUUUUACUGAUACAAGCAAUGUAUUCUCACAUAUCUUAGUAACUUCUGUAUUGAAUUAGUACAUGCACAUUAAAUUCAUCUUUAUUCUUUGGAUUAAUAUAGCAGAGUAACUCCAAUUUUGAACCUCCACACAAGCCUGAAGAAGUAUAUACGAAAGUAGUUGGGUCAUAUCUUAAUCCAAAUGAACUGUAUUUAGGUAAUCAUUUUAAAAGCUCUACGAGGUUGACAUUAGAUAGCUGAUUGACUAGUUUCCUAAAUCUAAGCCAAAGUCUUCACAAGUGCUGCAAUAUCAUAACAGGACUAUAAUUAUCCAAUAGCUUUUCAUUGCUCUAAAUAUUUUAAAGGCAUUUAGGGUACUUAAAGACACUAUUAAAAAGUACUCCUUUUCACUUUGACGUUCUCCUGGAAGCCAGUCAGAAUUGUGUUUUGCUGCCUGUCUGAAGGUACUGAACCAGUUCACUUUAUGAAAAAGAGCAGUUCGACAACUUUUGUCAUCAUUGUUUUGUAGAUGACAGUUUAGGACAGGACAUGGUUUGUAAUUAGCAUUAUCAGGAGUAUUCUUUAGACACGUGCAUUUCAAUUUUGCAAUUCGUUUUACAGAUUCAGUCUCAGAAGUGUAAAUGAUUUGUUUCACUUCAGCUUGACAACAUCAGUAUAACGAGUUUCUAGAUAGCUCUAUUUUAAUGCCCAACUAAAAUUUGGAUUCACAAAAGUGAAAAGGAGGUUUUGCUGACUCUGAUAGAUGACUUUUAUUAGAAAAUUUGCAGGAGUUCUUAUAUUAAAAUAUACCAUAUUAGCUCCAGUAAAGGCUCCACUAGCUCUUUGUUCUUCGUGCCACAGAAGUGAAAUCUGUUUUGAGUGUCCUUCAAUAACGUUGUCUUUACACUUAGAUCUCUCACUGGAUGAAUACUUGUACAUAUUUUUGUGAAUCAUUAAAAUUUUCACUCUCCUUCAUCAACUGAGAGAAAGGAGGGAGAUAUGCGGAAAGUGGAAGCAGGGUUGUGUAUCCUGAGAGGAAUACAGGACUGUUGUCUGUGUGUAUAGAGAUAGGAUUAGGAAAGCUAAGGUGCAGAUGGAGCUGAACUAGGCAGCAGAUGUGAAAGAUAACAAGAAGGGGUUUUACAGAUACGUGGGCAGGAAGAGACUGGCCAAGGAGUGUGUUCUCCCUCUGAUGGUAGGUAAUAGGGAACUGGCUUCUUCAGACAUAGAAAAAACUGAGGUACUCAAUGAGUGUUUUCCCUCAGUCUUCAUGGGUGGUCAGGCUUCCUGUGUCUGCCAAGACUGUGAGUCUCUA